GAUGAACGCUGGCGGCGUGCCUAAUACAUGCAAGUCGAGCGAACGGACGAGAAGCUUGCUGCUCUGACGUUAGCGGCGGACGGGUGAGUAACACGUGGAUAACCUACCUAUAAGACUGGGAUAACUUCGGGAAACCGGAGCUAAUACCGGAUGAUAUCUUGAACCGCAUGGUUCAAUAGUGAAAGACGGUCUUGCUGUCACUUAUAGAUGGAUCCGCGCUGCAUUAGCUAGUUGGUAAGGUAACGGCUUACCAAGGCAACGAUGCAUAGCCGACCUGAGAGGGGGAUCGGCCACACUGGAACUGAGACACGGUCCAGACUCCUACGGGAGGCAGCAGUAGGGAAUCUUCCGCAAUGGGCGAAAGCCUGACGGAGCAACGCCGCGUGAGUGAUGAAGGUCUUCGGAUCGUAAAACUCUGUUAUUAGGGAAGAACAUAUGUGUAAGUAACUGUGCACAUCGUGACGGUACCUAAUCAGAAAGCCACGGCUAACUACGUG
RNAcentral lists this ribosomal RNA (497 nucleotides) under uncultured bacterium. RNAcentral describes it as "partial 16S ribosomal RNA". It matches the Rfam family "Bacterial small subunit ribosomal RNA", at positions 28 to 507 of the family's 1533-position model. The record is from RNAcentral.